ACGGGAGGCAGCAGUGGGGAAUAUUGCACAAUGGGCGAAAGCCUGAUGCAGCGACGCCGCGUGAAUGAUGAAGUAUUUCGGUAUGUAAAGUUCUAUCAGCAGGGAAGAAGAAUGACGGUACCUGACUAAGAAGCACCGGCUAAAUACGUGCCAGCAGCCGCGGUAAUACGUAUGGUGCAAGCGUUAUCCGGAUUUACUGGGUGUAAAGGGAGCGCAGGCGGCGCGGCAAGUCUGAUGUGAAAGCCCGGGGCUCAACCCCGGUACUGCAUUGGAAACUGUCGUGCUAGGGUGUCGGAGGGGUAAGCGGAAUUCCUAGUGUAGCGGUGAAAUGCGUAGAUAUUAGGAGGAACACCAGUGGCGAAGGCGGCUUACUGGACGAUAACUGACGCUGAGGCUCGAAAGCGUGGGGAGCAAACAGGAUUAGAUACCCUGGUA
Molecule: ribosomal RNA, 435 nt
Filed under: uncultured Lachnospiraceae bacterium
Lineage: Bacteria; Bacillati; Bacillota; Clostridia; Lachnospirales; Lachnospiraceae
Description: partial 16S ribosomal RNA
Rfam family: Bacterial small subunit ribosomal RNA
Source: RNAcentral